This 874-nucleotide ribosomal RNA is filed under the name uncultured crenarchaeote. Its description in RNAcentral is "bacterial SSU rRNA". It matches the Rfam family "Archaeal small subunit ribosomal RNA", at positions 1 to 847 of the family's 1478-position model. Lineage: Archaea; Thermoproteati; Thermoproteota. The record is from RNAcentral.
GGGGCCCGCGGGCGAGGGGCACCNACNSGAGGCSNCCGGGGCCSSGGSAGCCGGCCGGACCUGACUGCUAUCGGAUUGGUACUAAGCCAUGCGAGUCAUUGUAGCAAUACAAGGCGGACGGCUCAGUAACACGUAGUCAACCUAACUCGUGGACGUGGAUAACCUCGGGAAACUGAGAAUAAACCACGAUAGAUCAUAGUGCCUGGHAUGGCUUAUGGUCCAAACAGUUUACUGCCAUGGGAUGGGACUGCSGCCUAUCAGCUUGUUGGUGAGGUAAUGGCUCACCAAGCCUUUUACCGGUGCGGGCCGUGAGAGCGGGAGCCCGGAGAUGGGCACUGAGACAAGGGCCCAGGCCCUACGCGCGCGCAGCAGGCGCGAAACCUCUGCAAUAGGCGAAAGCUGACAGGGUUACUCUGAGUGAUUUCCGUUAAGGAGAUCUUUUSGCACCUCUAAAAAUSGUGCAGAAUAAGGGGUGGGCAAGUCUGGUGUCAGCCGCCGCGGUAAUACCAGCUCUCCGAGUGGUGUGGAUGUUUAUUGGGCCUAAAGCAUCCGUAGCUGGCUAAGUUAGUCCCUUGUUAAAUCCACCGAAUUAAUCGUUGGAUUGCCGGGGAUACUUCUUGGCUAGGGGACGAGAGAGGCAGACGGUAUUUCCCGGGUAGGGGUGAAAUCCUAUAAUYCCGGGAAGACCACCAGUGGCGAAGGCUKUCUGCUAGAACGCGCCCGACGGGUGAGGGAUGAAAGUUGGGGAGCGAACCGGAUUAGAUACCCGGUAGUCCAGCUGUAAACGAUGCAGGUUAGGUGUUUGACGGCCACGUGCCGUUUUAGUGCCCAGGGAAGUUUUUAAGCCUUCCGCUUGGGGAGKUACGRUCGCAAG